This is a long non-coding RNA of Sardina pilchardus (European sardine), 1032 nucleotides long. RefSeq lists it as uncharacterized. The record is from RefSeq and is a predicted model, not a curated record. Lineage: Eukaryota; Metazoa; Chordata; Actinopteri; Clupeiformes; Clupeidae. The transcript is spliced from 3 exons.
GUUAGUAACAUUACUUUGCGAACUCCAUGGGGCAUGGGUAGUUAACAUUAAACUUAAUACAUGUAGUGUUGAUGCAUAAUAUGUAGUGUUGCUAUAACUGGAAAGAGGACCAGUAAAACAAAUUAAUGAAGUAGGCUGAUGUGUAAGUUAUCUCACCCCUAAUUUAGGAACUGUAGUUUUGCAUAGUCAUGCUCAUAGAUCCGUCAUAUAGUGGAUGUGAAAGGGGAGCAUUUGGGGAAUUUCAAUUACCAGAAAUAUCAUGCCGAUAAGUAAAGGGAUCUUUAGUUUGUGAAGGGUAGUGUUUGGCUAAAUGGUAUUCAUUUUAUAGCCUUUAUUUGCCCAAUGUUUGGUGACUUAAAUUGAGGCAUGUGUUUAUUUAAGAUGCAUGUGAGUGUAGUAGUGCUUCAGUGAUGGUCUUUUCAUGUUCUGUGUGUUUUGCAAUGUAUUAAUUAAUGUAAGCCUCUUUCUGUUCCCUCUGUUAGUAGGUGGUGUGAGGACUGCUGCCCUGAGAACGCUGUGUCAGAGACACUUAGGCUGUGUGCAUUUUGGAAUGUUCCAAAUGUGUGUCACUUCCAUAAGGAAGAAGUUCCAAGCCUGCAAGUGAGUUCACUCACCAAAUAGAGACACACGCAUAUAGCAUUUAAUAUGUGUGCAUGUACUGUAUUUGUGUCUGUAACUGUUUAGUUUAUCCCCUCCUUUCAUGUGUCUGUUAUGACUUUGUGGGCUCAACUGUCAACAACUGUCCAGGGCGAAGUCGGUCAACCCUGAUGGCACUACCUGAUGGCACUACCCUGAUGAUGUCUGUUAGCCAUGGCUGCUGCCCUCAACAUGGUGAGCCAUCCAGAAGUCCCAGCCUGGAGCCAGAGGCUGCUAUUGCAAGUCAGAUGGGAGAUGGCCUACAGUAUGUUAGGCAUCAGAAAAGUGGUGUUCGCAUGAAGGCAGAGUUGCCGCAGGCAAUUAUGAGAUUAGACACUUGACAUUUACUGCGAAAGGUACCAUCAGAGCACCUCUCCCUACCCUGCAGGAUACCUA